CGCUCCGAGUCGCUCCGAGCAGCGUUGCACUGCUGCUGCGGGGGCUUUUAAACGGCUGGGGGACGGUGCAGGGCUAGGGUUGGAAGGGGACGUUUGCUGGUUCACCGGGAGGCGAGCGAGUUGGAUGCCACGAGGCGCUGAGGGGCAGCUGUGAGCCGAACCGGUCCGUUUCCGUUCCCGGGUGACGGGCGUAUAUUCGCUGUUAGCCGGAGGACUAAUCACCAUAGAGAGCGGCGGAUGAGCUGCGCAGAGCGGUUAGAUCGGCACUUCCGCAUUUCUGGGCGCAUGUGUUUUGCCGCGGGCGGGACUCGGCGGCAGGCAGCGGCAGUUCCGCGCGUUGGCCACGCGGUGGCAGCAGAGACCACGGCAAGAACUUUCCUGCCGCAUCGAUGCCGGGAUUCGGUGGUAGGCGGCGGCAGUUCCGCGCAUUGGGGGCUGCCCGUGGGGCGCGUGGAGUGCUGGGAGGAGCUGAUGGCCGUGCGCGGUGGGGUGAUGGUGCCCUCGGCGCACGGCUGUGACAGCGGGGUGGGGGUCGGUGCCCCCAAAAUGGGGUGGUGGGAGAGUUGUAUGGGGAGUGCAUGUGAAGCAGUGCUGGAGCAGCUUGUGAAGGGUGCAGCCCUGUGAGCACAGGUGGAAGCAAGGCAGCCGUGGGAGCAGAUGUGGGACCUGUGGGUCACUUAUGCGUCGCUUGUGGGGCGCUGAUGUGUCACUUUUGGGGCCCAGGCUGCUAUCAGUCAUUUGUGGGUCCCUGCUGCCCCACUUGUGGGGGUACUUAUGGGUCAAUUCCUGGUCCCUUUGCCAGUUAACGGUCCCAGGCUGCUGUGGGGCACUUCUGGGGCCGUGUGUCUCACUUGUGGGUCCAUGCUGUGCCACUUGUGAGUCACUUGUGGGGCACUGGGGGGGCACUUGUUGGUGACAGGACACUUGUGGGGCACUUAUGAGACGCUGAUGGGUCAAUUAUGGGGGACUUAUGGGGCACUUGUGGUUCAGUUGUUUGUCCCUUGCGAGGCACUUGUGGGUCCCUGUGGGUCACUUGUGGGUCACAGGCUGCUGUGGGUCAUUUGUGGGUCUCUGCGGUGCCACCUGUGGGGCUCUUGUGGCUCCCAGGUCACUGAGGGGCUUUCUGGGUCCCUCCCUGUUUCUGUGGGGUUUGGAUUGCUGUUGGAGCCAAAAGGCCACACGCUGCCAUACAGGCAGGUGCCAGGGUCACCCCCUGAGGACACCAAACCCUCCAAUGAUGUCACAGCGGCCUUUAAUUGCUGUGUGAGGAGAUGACGUGCGUUUCUCCCUGGGGAGCCGUAAGCUGAGCCUGGCAGCUGGGCAGCCAGCACUCGCUCCAUUGAUGCCGCUCAUCUCAGCCCUUGUGCUGCAUGUGCAGCUUCUCAGCACCUCGCUGUAUCAGCACUGAAAUCUGUGCUCCCCUAUUUAUUACAAAUGUCACCAAUUGCCAUGGAGGACAGGCUGGAAGCAAAGUACUCUACUCAAAGUACUAGCUCGUCCAUGGAUAAACCUCCCCUUGCCAGACAGGCAGACCCAAUUGGCCGCCGGUCAUUACUUUUUUUUUUUAUUUCAUUUUUUCCUUCCUGCUUUUAGGGGAACUUUGAGAUCACAGCCUGAAGCAGUGAUGGAGCACCUGGUGAGGGGUGCAGCCCUGCCUGCACAGGUGGAAGCAAUGUAGCCAUGGGGCAGAUGGGGCUGAGCCUGGCUCCACCCCUCCCUCGCCUCAUUGAAGGGCUGGCAGCCCCACAGGCAGGGUUUCUUCCUGGAGAUGCCUCCUGUGGAUUGCUGGGUCCUACAGGAGCUGAUGAGAACUUCAGAAAUAAAGUGGGAGCUCCAUACUCCGUGGCACCCUCCUUCUUCAGGGAAUGUAGAAUGAAUCAAUCAGAUGCUGAAAAAGCACUUGUCAGAAUUGGUUUCAGAGACCAAAUUACCAUGGGCAAAGUGUUUGCCUGUAGCCCUUGUCAGAACACGAACCACUCACAGAAAAGGCUUAGGAGUAUCACCACACGAAGUGCUGUUUGGGUUGCUGUACUUGGGAAUGGUGAGAUGCCCGCUCUUGAAACCAAGGUGCACUCAUCCCGUGUAGGAGGCUGGUCCUAAUAUGCGCCUGGAAGGAGUCAAAGCUUCAGCCCGAGUGGGAUGGAAUGGACCAUUUCAGGUACUGCAGUGGGUGUCGUCUACCUUGCCUUCAGCAAUGUUUUGUUACAGUCUUCUGUGACAUCCUGGUAAAGAAGCUUAGAAAGUGUGGGAUAGAUGAGUGGAUGAUGAGGUGGGCUGAGAACAGGUUUACUGGCUGAGCUCAGUGGUGGUGAUCGGCGG
Molecule: long non-coding RNA, 2319 nt
Organism: Tympanuchus pallidicinctus (lesser prairie-chicken)
Lineage: Eukaryota; Metazoa; Chordata; Aves; Galliformes; Phasianidae
Exons: 4
Source: RefSeq, a predicted model, not a curated record